UGGGGAAUAUUGGACAAUGGGCGAAAGCCUGAUCCAGCCAUGCCGCGUGUGUGAAGAAGGCCUUUUGGUUGUAAAGCACUUUAAGUGGGGAGGAAAAGCUUAUGGUUAAUACCCAUAAGCCCUGACGUUACCCACAGAAUAAGCACCGGCUAACUCUGUGCCAGCAGCCGCGGUAAUACAGAGGGUGCAAGCGUUAAUCGGAAUUACUGGGCGUAAAGCGCGCGUAGGUGGUUAUUUAAGUCAGAUGUGAAAGCCCCGGGCUUAACCUGGGAACUGCAUCUGAUACUGGAUAACUAGAGUAGGUGAGAGGGGAGUAGAAUUCCAGGUGUAGCGGUGAAAUGCGUAGAGAUCUGGAGGAAUACCGAUGGCGAAGGCAGCUCCCUGGCAUCAUACUGACACUGAGGUGCGAAAGCGUGGGUAGCAAACAGGAUUAGAUACCCUGGUAGUCCACGCCGUAAACGAUGUCUACCAGUCGUUGGGGUCUUUUAANGACUUAGUGACGCAGCUAACGCAAUAAGUAGACCGCCUGGGGAGNACGGCCGCAAGGUUA
RNAcentral lists this ribosomal RNA (550 nucleotides) under uncultured bacterium. Its description in RNAcentral is "bacterial SSU rRNA". It matches the Rfam family "Bacterial small subunit ribosomal RNA", at positions 355 to 896 of the family's 1533-position model. The record is from RNAcentral.